CGCGUAGGCGGAUGUUUAAGUCAGAGGUGAAAGCCCAGGGCUCAACCUUGGAAUUGCCUUUGAUACUGGACAUCUUGAGUAUGGGAGAGGUGAGUGGAACUCCGAGUGUAGAGGUGAAAUUCGUAGAUAUUCGGAAGAACACCAGUGGCGAAGGCGACUCACUGGCCCAUUACUGACGCUGAGGCGCGAAAGCGUGGGGAGCAAACAGGAUUAGAUACCCUGGUAGUCCACGCUGUAAACGAUGAGUGCUAGUUGUCGGCAUGCAUGCAUGUCGGUGACGCAGCUAACGCAUUAAGCACUCCGCCUGGGGAGUACGGUCGCAAGAUUAAA
Molecule: ribosomal RNA, 330 nt
Filed under: uncultured bacterium
Lineage: Bacteria
Description: bacterial SSU rRNA
Rfam family: Bacterial small subunit ribosomal RNA
Source: RNAcentral